UCCUCUUCGGAGGACAAAGUGACAGGUGGUGCAUGGUUGUCGUCAGCUCGUGUCGUGAGAUGUUGGGUUAAGUCCCGCAACGAGCGCAACCCUUGAACUUAGUUGCCAUCAUUCAGUUGGGCACUCUAAGUUGACUGCCGGUGACAAACCGGAGGAAGGUGGGGAUGACGUCAAAUCAUCAUGCCCCUUAUGAUUUGGGCUACACACGUGCUACAAUGGACAAUACAAAGGGCAGCGAAACCGCGAGGUCAAGCAAAUCUCAUAAAGUUGUUCUCAGUUCGGAUUGUAGUCUGCAACUCGACUACAUGAAGCUGGAAUCGCUAGUAAUCGUAGAUCAGCAUGCUACGGUGAAUACGUUCCCGGGUC
RNAcentral lists this ribosomal RNA (366 nucleotides) under Staphylococcus pseudintermedius. Its description in RNAcentral is "bacterial SSU rRNA". It matches the Rfam family "Bacterial small subunit ribosomal RNA", at positions 1014 to 1380 of the family's 1533-position model. Lineage: Bacteria; Bacillati; Bacillota; Bacilli; Caryophanales; Staphylococcaceae. The record is from RNAcentral.